This is a long non-coding RNA of Aquila chrysaetos chrysaetos, 289 nucleotides long. RefSeq lists it as uncharacterized. The record is from RefSeq and is a predicted model, not a curated record. NCBI's taxonomy places the organism in Eukaryota, Metazoa, Chordata, Aves, Accipitriformes, Accipitridae. The transcript has 4 exons.
CUCUCUCGCUGCAUUAUGUUUUUCUCCCCGCGUUUCCCCUUCGCUUGCGGUUGGAGAGAGAGCAGCAAAAGCAGACGCAGAUGCUUUACGAUCUGCUUUCAUUUCUUGCAGAGUUGUCUUAAUUAAUUUCCAUAAAGUUGCAAGACCUUUAACUUCUUUAGACCCGUCACUAAUUUCAUCCCAUAGGGAGGUUCCGAUAGCUUCCCGGGUACUAAGCUCAAAAGUUGUACCCACACUAAUUAAAAGGUUUCUGUCCUUGUUCCAUUAGUUUUUCAUGCUGAUUUAUCAU